Molecule: long non-coding RNA, 617 nt
Organism: Neltuma alba
Lineage: Eukaryota; Viridiplantae; Streptophyta; Magnoliopsida; Fabales; Fabaceae
Exons: 4
Source: RefSeq, a predicted model, not a curated record
AUUAGUUUCAAAACUAUAUUUUGUAGUUGUUGAUCUAACUAUGAGAUCCUAUUUUGCCCUGGGGUUAUAUACCUCGAUAUAUGAGGUAAAAUUCUGCAUUCCUACUAUGCUCGAAAGGUGUUUGGUUAUAUGCCUUCUUUUCUAAUUCUUUGUAUUUUAUGUGACUAUACUUUUAGGACUUAUCAUUCCAUCAGUUGGCUAGUGGUCGUCGUGCAUCGUGCUCUGUUCUAUCAGUUCUCUGUGGAAACGGCCUUUCUCUUGUCAUCAUUAAAGGAAAUAGCACCUGAUGGCGAUUCAAGCUUCCUUCGAGUGUUACGACUCACUAUUCAAUUCGUUCACAAAUGGUCGUGGCCCGUGCUGCGUCCUACCAGUUUCGUGUUUUUAUGGUAGAAAUGGUCUUGAUCUUUUCAACAUUUAUGGAAAUAGCGCCUGACGGCCAUUUAAGCUUCCUUCGAGCUUCAAUCGUGGCCAAACUGAAUUGCAAGGAUUCCAAAGUAGCCAGUUCUUCCCCAACUGCACAGUUGAAUUUAAAAGCAAAAACCUGACAAAACCCAACAGAAUUACUGAAGCCAUAACAAGGACAACAAUCAAGGCAACUGCUCGUGAUGAAAGUUUCU